GAUGAACGCUGGCGGCGUGCCUAAUACAUGCAAGUCGAGCGAACGGACGCGAAGCUUGCUUCUCUGAUGUUAGCGGCGGACGGGUGAGUAACACGUGGAUAACCUACUUAUAAGACUGGGAUAACUUCGGGAAACCGGAGCUUAUCCCGGAUGAUAUUUUGCACCGCAGGGUUGCAAAGUGAAAGACGGUCUUGCUGUCACUUCUCGAUGGUUCCGCGCGUGAUUAGCUAGUUGUUACGUUCACCGCUUUCCACGGCAACGAUGCAUAUCCGACCUGGUAGGGGGAUCGGCCGCACUGGAACGUAAACACGGUCCAUACUCCUACGGGACGCCGCAGAAGGGAAUCUUCCGCAAGGGGCGGAAGCCUGGCGGAACAACGCGGCGUGUGUUAUGAAGGUCUUCGGAUCGUAAAACUCGGUUAUUAGGUAAAAACAUAUGUGGAAGUAACUGUGCACAGCGUGACGGUACCUAAUCAGAAAGCCACGGCUAACUACGUG
This 497-nucleotide ribosomal RNA is filed under the name uncultured bacterium. RNAcentral describes it as "partial 16S ribosomal RNA". It matches the Rfam family "Bacterial small subunit ribosomal RNA", at positions 28 to 507 of the family's 1533-position model. The record is from RNAcentral.